CAGGUGGCAUAUAUACACCCGCUUCCCUUUAAGCAGCAUCCGAUCAGUGCUGAGUGAGCAGUACAGACUAUUGUGAUGUGGCAGUUGAGAGGAUAGAGGGCUGAGGUGGUCAGGGACAGCUACAGGGAAGAGCUAAUCAUUCAUCCUAGCCAAGCCUGGAAAGAUGAGUAGGAUUUGGAAACAGGUUAUCUCAUCACAUGCAAGUACCAAGAUGCAUUCUCAAACCAAUUAUAAACUUCGAGAUAAAGAAGCAGAGGCCCAGAGAGAGAUUUUGAGAAUGUAGGAAGAGAGCAGCCAUGACUUCCUCUGAAUUCUUUGUCCCAUAGCAUGAUGGGAACUUACUCUUCCUACUCUGGAGAGCUCAUCGACACCUCUUGCCUUCAUGGGGAUGCCCUGAGCUCCUCUCAGCACCUGUUUCUAAUCAUCAUGGUAUAGUGGAAAAAGUACUGGAUUUGGGAGCCAGAGGAUCUGCUUCCAAAUCCAGUUU
This is a non-coding RNA of Phascolarctos cinereus (koala), 487 nucleotides long. NCBI's taxonomy places the organism in Eukaryota, Metazoa, Chordata, Mammalia, Diprotodontia, Phascolarctidae. The record is from RefSeq and is a predicted model, not a curated record.